CCUGAAAGCAGAGUAUGUGAUUAAUCUCCCCAAUCAGAAGUUGAAAAGAAAGUAUGAUAUGGUAAUACUGUAUUCCAAUUGGCAUUGUGGAUGGCUAAUAGAAUGAUGGAAGUCAUGUGUAAUCAUGUAUUCAAUCAGCAUUUGCGAAGAAACUACUGUAUGCUGGCCCUUAAGGCAGUAUGGAUGAGGGAGAAUUGAAAGCCACAGUACUUGCCCUUGGGUUGCCAAGACUUAGGGGUGAAACAAACGAGUUAAGAGAUAUUUACAGUAAAAGGUGAAGGGUUCUUUAAUAAAAGUGAGCACAAGCUGCUGUGGAACACAUAACAGAUCCAUCUCACUCAGACCCAAGGGGCAUACAGGAGAGCUUCCUGGAGGAAGUAACACCCGAGCUGAGAUAGCAAGAGUAAGCAGGUGCUAGUCUAGUAUAAAAGAAGAUGUAUUCACUUCUAUGGCUGCUGUGACAAAUUACCACAAGCUUGUUUGCUUGAAGCAACAGAAAUGAGUUCUCUCACAGUUCUGAAGCUGGAAGUCUGAAACCAGUAUCCCAGGGCCGAAGCUGGCAGAGCUGCGCUUCCUCUGGGGGCUCUCAGGAGCAGCUCCUCUUGCCUCUUUUAGUUUCUGGGGGCUGCCAGCACUCCUUGCCUCUUCCCAUAUCACUCCAAUUUCUGCCUCCGUCUUCACAAUGCCUUCUCCUCCAGGGGAGGAAAGACUUUCUCUCCCCGCUCCUGUGUUCAAUAACUGUGUCUAUGAAAUAAACUGACAACAAGAAGAUUAACAGGAGAAAAAGGACUGAAAGACCCAGCUGCCUCUUUCUAAACAAAAUUUAUUUUAUCAAGGAAGCACUAUGUUCUAUCAGCUCUUGAGAAG
Molecule: long non-coding RNA, 867 nt
Filed under: Equus caballus (horse)
Lineage: Eukaryota; Metazoa; Chordata; Mammalia; Perissodactyla; Equidae
Description: lncRNA (ENSECAG00000049276.1)
Source: RNAcentral